GGGGUGGUAGCAGUAGGUAGCUCGUCGGGCUCAUAACCCGAAGGUCGUAGGUUCGAGUCCUACCCCCG
This 68-nucleotide transfer RNA is filed under the name Firmicutes bacterium CAG:552. It matches the Rfam family "tRNA". Rfam says of the family: Transfer RNA (tRNA) molecules are approximately 80 nucleotides in length. Their secondary structure includes four short double-helical elements and three loops (D, anti-codon, and T loops). The record is from Rfam by way of RNAcentral. Lineage: Bacteria; Bacillati; Bacillota.